CCGCGACGGGUGAAGUAACAACGUUACUACCCAACCUGCCGUCUACUCUUGGACACCCUUCUGAAAAGGAAGUAUUAAUACAGAUGGCAUCAUGAGUCCGCAUGUUCACAUGAUUAAAGGUAUUCCGGUAGACGAUGGGGAUGCGUUCCAUUAGAUAGUAGGCGGGGUAACGGCCCACCUAGUCUUCGAUGGAUAGGGGUUCUGAGAGGAAGGUCCCCCACAUUGGAACUGAGACACGGUCCAA
This 244-nucleotide ribosomal RNA is filed under the name uncultured bacterium. RNAcentral's name for it is "partial 16S ribosomal RNA". It matches the Rfam family "Bacterial small subunit ribosomal RNA", at positions 102 to 334 of the family's 1533-position model. The record is from RNAcentral.